GACCUUAUAUUGCUUAAUCCUUAUGGAGUGGGGGACCCAUCUUUGUGCAUAGCACUCGGGGUGAAUCCUUCGUUAGAGGGUAGGGCUACUUUCAAAGUCCGAGUCCGACAGCUAACCCCAUCAGCGUUUUGGAAGGAGGUU
RNAcentral lists this small RNA (141 nucleotides) under Bacillus sp. (in: firmicutes). RNAcentral's name for it is "Bacillus sp. c-di-AMP sequence". It matches the Rfam family "c-di-AMP riboswitch aptamer (ydaO/yuaA leader)". Rfam says of the family: This family represents a conserved RNA structure found upstream of the ydaO and yuaA genes in Bacillus subtilis and related genes in other bacteria. The ydaO/yuaA element is thought to act as a genetic "off" switch for the ydaO and yuaA genes in its native state. The record is from RNAcentral. RNAcentral also lists the same sequence under 1 other name. Lineage: Bacteria; Bacillati; Bacillota; Bacilli; Caryophanales; Bacillaceae.